UGAACUGCUCAAUCAACAUGAGUUUCUUCUUCUAAUGUCUUUGGUGAACACUGACAGUAAGGUGUGCUGGCUUGGUUAAGUCGAAAGUACUGGGACUGGCAAGCGCUAUUUCUUCGUGUUCUUGUUCUCCUUCUCAGUAGGUGACAGUGUCUCAAGCCAUCAGCUAACAGCUCUGGAGCUCUGAUCCGCCGGAAUGCUGGCUGCUGUUCAGGAGAGAGCAGGUGCUCUGGCUGUGUGCUGGCGGCGGGGGACACCCUCCAAACACACAACUGCAUCUCCUACGUGUUCAGGAAAUGUACGAGAAAACAAGAAAUAUUUCCAAGUGGCAGAUACGGUGUAUGCAAAGAACACAGGCUCAUAUAAACAGACCCUUCCCAGUAAGAGCACUUCUUCUUUACGGGUCAUUUACAAAGCUAAUUGCCAUACAAGCCAAGUCUUCCCACUCCACAGUAUGGGCUUCUGCAGCACUUACAGCUUGCCUUCCUUGUGCUGCUGAAGCAAGCCCGUCCGCGCCUUGUUAGAGCAACACACCUGUUAUGCUCCUGAGGAAGAUUACUGAUGCCUGCAGGGACCGGCUGCGCAUGCUUAAAGCACAUAGAAGUAUAUGGGGGCUUUUGCUACUAUAAAAUAAAGGUGCU
Molecule: long non-coding RNA, 638 nt
Organism: Chinchilla lanigera (long-tailed chinchilla)
Lineage: Eukaryota; Metazoa; Chordata; Mammalia; Rodentia; Chinchillidae
Exons: 3
Source: RefSeq, a predicted model, not a curated record